CCUGAGCUGAAAUCAAGAAGCCAACUCUCAACGGACUCAGCCACCCAGGCACCCCCCUCGUAUCUUCCUUUAAGGGAGGAGAAAAAGAAUAAGAAAUUCCCAACAGAAUGGGAAAUAUUCUUUGGUGUACCUGAAAGAGACCUCCCUCCAUCUGGCCCCUUGGUCAGCAGCUGUACUUUUCAACGAGCCAAUGAGUUUGAUGUCCCUGCUCCCAUCCAUCAUCUUUAUUCAGCUGGGGUUCACAAAUGGUGCAAUGUGUAUGAAACAGAAUUCGUCCCACACCCCAUGAGUUCUCUGCCCUCUGUGCUGGCCCACAUGCCUAUUCGGUGAUCUCCUUCUCUUUCUCACACCAUGUAAAUACAGUCUGGCUCACGUCCUUUUCCUUUUGUACUGAUAUUCUCCAUGCAUGUUAAUGUUUGUGACUUGAAAGUCAGGUUAACUUCCUACCUAAGGUAGGAAGGAUCAGCAGGAAGCUUAAAGGACGAAACUUCAUGCUCUGUUGGUGGAGGUUUUUGUUUCUGGAUUUGCCACCUGUGAGAAAUCGGAACUGGUGCUCCAGAGCCCUCCACUUGGAGUCAUUGGUUUGGGGCACUUGACAAUCAUAUGUGCUGUUGUGAUGGAAAUCCAGCUACCAAAAUAGUUGUCCAAAGACCUUCCCUGAAGAAGGUUCCAUCUAAUGAGAUCUUAACAAGCAUGAGGAAUGUAUUCAGCCAUUCGAUCAAAUAUUUCUCUGUGUCCUUUUUAAAGAUACAGUUGUUAGAUAGUCAGGCUUAACAAUUAAUAUCCUGUUAAAUUAAAACUGCCACAAACCAGAACAUAAAUCUUAUCUUAAAAGGGCUUAUGUAUGCAUAAGAGAAAUGAGAAAGAGAUUUGUAAUAGGGUAGAAUGACGUAUUUAAUAUGCAGCCCAAAAGCUUAGUUCGCUGACAAAAAGUCAGAUGCCUGAAACUUUUUAUCCAAAUUUGGCUUGGUUCACAGGAGACACAGAAAACCCAGAUAACUUAUCUUUAGACUCCCUGCUGUUUGGAGAAGAACAAAGUCAAUAGCAAAUGCCUCAGUGGUGAACGUGUGAUGAAAAUUGAGUUACGUGUCUACAUAAUGGCAGGUGUCUACACCUGCAAUCGAUCUGCGACACCACAUCAAAGUCAGAAACAAUAAACCUGCAAAGUCAAAUACGGCUUAGUCUUCAAAGUAUUUGUCUAAAGAUGAGGACAGAAGUUGACGCUCCGCGGUUGAGAGAAAACCAUUGACCUGGGGAGGCAUAUCCUUCCUUCGUUUGCCAAAGUGAUGCUGUGCUCAGCCGUCUUUGUCUUUGUCCUAUAAACACAAAUACAAAUCCUUCAAGUCGGAGCUUAGAGGGGGGUGAAGAGUAUGAACUUUCCAUCAUGAGGAUGAGCGAUAAUCUUGGACCCCCCUUGACCAAGGCAGACGCUGGGGAAGUUCCUCCAUUUGAACAGCACCCUUCGGAAAUGACUGGAACUCCUGGACAUUCAUAGGGACUGGCUAUCCCGCCAAAAUAAUACUGAAGAUUACUUCCCGGGUUUUUAAAAUAUGUAUAUCUAUGUCUCAAUAGAUGGGGGGGG
Molecule: long non-coding RNA, 1582 nt
Organism: Felis catus (domestic cat)
Lineage: Eukaryota; Metazoa; Chordata; Mammalia; Carnivora; Felidae
Exons: 2
Source: RefSeq, a predicted model, not a curated record